AAGCAUAUCAAUAAGCGGAGGAAAAGAAACCAACAGGGAUUGCCCUAGUAACGGCGAGUGAAGCGGCAACAGCUCAAAUUUGAAAUCUGGCCCUAGUGGUCCGAAUUGUAAUUUGUAGAGGAUGCUUUGGGCGCGGUGCCUUCCGAGUUCCUUGGAACAGGACGCCUUAGAGGGUGAGAGCCCCGUACGGUUGGACACCAAGCCUAUGUAAAGCUCCUUCGACGAGUCGAGUAGUUUGGGAAUGCUGCUCUAAAUGGGAGGUAAAUUUCUUCUAAAGCUAAAUACCGGCCAGAGACCGAUAGCGCACAAGUAGAGUGAUCGAAAGAUGAAAAGUACUUUGAAAAGAGGGUUAAAUAGCACGUGAAAUUGUUGAAAGGGAAGCAUUUAUGACCAGACCUUUGCUAGGUGGAUCAUCCGGUGUUCUUCACCGGUGCACUUCGCCUAGCUUAGGCCAGCAUCGAUUUCUGUAGGGGGAUAAAGGUCUAGGGAACGUAGCUCUCUUCGGAGAGUGUUAUAGCCCUGGGCGUAAUACCCUUACGGGGAUCGAGGUUCGCGCUUCGGCAAGGAUGCUGGCAUAAUGGUCAUCAAUGACCCGUCUUGAAACACGGACCAAGGAGUCGAACAUUUAUGCGAGUGUUUGGGUGUCAAACCCUCACGCGUAAUGAAAGUGAACGGAGGUGAGAGCCCUUACGGGUGCAUCAUCGACCGAUCCUGAUGUCUUCGGAUGGAUUUGAGUAAGAGCAUAACUGUUCGGACCCGAAAGAUGGUGAACUAUGCGUGGAUAGGGUGAAGCCAGAGGAAACUCUGGUGGAGGCUCGCAGCGGUUCUGACGUGCAAAUCGAUCGUCAAAUCUGCGCAUGGGGGCGAAAGACUUAUCGAACCAUCUAGUAGCUGGUUACCGCCG
This 904-nucleotide ribosomal RNA is filed under the name Paraeutypella citricola. RNAcentral describes it as "LSU rRNA". It matches the Rfam family "Eukaryotic large subunit ribosomal RNA", at positions 36 to 963 of the family's 3401-position model. Lineage: Eukaryota; Fungi; Ascomycota; Sordariomycetes; Xylariales; Diatrypaceae. The record is from RNAcentral.